AUUGAACGCUGGCGGAAUGCUUUACACAUGCAAGUCGAACGGCAGCACGGACUUCGGUCUGGUGGCGAGUGGCGAACGGGUGAGUAAUGUAUCGGAACGUAUCCAAUAAUGGGGGAUAACUAAUCGAAAGGUUGGCUAAUACCGCAUACGUCCUACGGGAGAAAGCUAGGGACCUUCGGGCCUGGCGUUAAUGGAGCGGCCGAUAUCGGAUUAGCUAGUUGGUGAGGUAAAGGCUCACCAAGGCGACGAUACGUAGCUGGUCUGAGAGGACGACCAGCCACACUGGAACUGAGACACGGUCCAGACUCCUACGGGAGGCAGCAGUGGGGAAUUUUGGACAAUGGGCGAAAGCCUGAUCCAGCCAUUCCGCGUGAGUGAAGAAGGCCUUCGGGUUGUAAAGCUCUUUCGCAAGAGAAGAAAACUUACCCUCUAACAUAGGGUGAGGUUGACGGUAUCUUGAUAAGAAGCACCGGCUAACUACGUGCCAGCAGCCGCGGUAA
RNAcentral lists this ribosomal RNA (500 nucleotides) under uncultured bacterium. Its description in RNAcentral is "partial 16S ribosomal RNA". It matches the Rfam family "Bacterial small subunit ribosomal RNA", at positions 30 to 523 of the family's 1533-position model. The record is from RNAcentral.